This 465-nucleotide ribosomal RNA is filed under the name uncultured bacterium. RNAcentral describes it as "partial 16S ribosomal RNA". It matches the Rfam family "Bacterial small subunit ribosomal RNA", at positions 338 to 795 of the family's 1533-position model. The record is from RNAcentral.
CCUACGGGCGGCAGCAGUGGGGAAUAUUGCGCAAUGGGCGAAAGCCUGACGCAGCGACGCCGCGUGCGGGAUGAAGGUCUUUGGAUCGUAAACCUCUGUCAGCAGGGAAGAACGGUCACUGUGCUAAUCAGCAGUGAAUUGACGGUACCUGCAAAGGAAGCACCGGCUAACUCAGUGCCAGCAGCCGCGGUAAUACGGAGGGUGCGAGCGUUAAUCGGAAUUACUGGGCGUAAAGCGCUCGUAGGCGGUAUGUCAAGUCACGGGUGAAAUCCCCGCGCUAAACGUGGGAACUGCCUUUGAAUCUGGCAAACUUGAGUGUGUGAGAGGAUAGUGGAAUUCCAGGUGUAGGAGUGAAAUCCGUAGAUAUCUGGAGGAACAUCAGGGGCGAAGGCGACUAUCUGGCACAUAACUGACGCUGAGGAGCGAAAGCGUGGGUAGCAAACAGGAUUAGAUACCCGGGUAGUC